This 1011-nucleotide long non-coding RNA is filed under the name Theobroma cacao (cacao). Its description in RNAcentral is "long non-coding RNA (TCAC_LNC004323)". The record is from RNAcentral. Lineage: Eukaryota; Viridiplantae; Streptophyta; Magnoliopsida; Malvales; Malvaceae.
GCCGGCCAAAGAAGAACAAAGGAGGAAAGGAAAAAAAACAAGAACCCUAUGCGGGAAAAUUGAAGAAAAGUGUGGGAUUUCAAGGGAUUAAGCUAAUAAAGGUAAAAUUUCUUGAUUUUGACUUGUGAUUUACACUACCAUGCUUUCUUGUUCAUUUUCCAUACUUAGAUUUCAUGUUUUUAUGGUGAAUUCAUGGCUGGUUGGAAUGGGUAUGGAGAGAGAAUGAAGUUGGAUUGAUUUGAUUCUAAGUUAUGUUAGUGUUUUUAGUUAGUUUAUCAUGUCUAGAAACAAACCAACAAGAAAAAUUUAUUUUCUCCCAUUACCCAUCAUUGGUCGAAUUUUCUAGGGAGGAUAUUGCGGNGUGUUUUUAGUUAGUUUAUCAUGUCUAGGAACAAACCAACAAGAAAAAUUUAUUUUCUCCCAUUACCCAUCAUUGGUCGAAUUUUCUAGGGAGGAUAUUGCGGUUGAAAUUGAUGAUAUUUUAUGAUAUUUUGGUGAUAUUUGAUGUUUGGUGAGGCUAGAAAUUAAAUGAGAAAUUUUGGUGUGAAAAUCUAAAUUUUUGCUCAACGUAUAGACAUGUGUGAUUAUUGACCCGAAACUGAUAAAUUGAAUCUCAUUCACAGUCACUGAGGUAAUUUAGGUAUAAUUGGAGUGUAAAAAGUGAGAAGAAUUGAUUUAGAGUUAAAUUGAAGAUUUUAGCUGAUUAGACCGAGUAUAGUGUGACUUAAGUCGAAUAUCACAUGUAAGCAAUUAAUCGGACAUUUUGCAUUCCAUAUCAUGCAUUAGUAGUCUAAAUUAGUUUAAUUUUGAUUUAGUACCAAUGUAAUAAGUUUCUCGAUUUUGUAUUGUGUCAAGGUGGUGAGUUCUCUGACAAGGGUAAGGAAAUUGUACCCGAUGAUCGAUAAUCGGAGUACUUUAGAAAUUAGACUCCUGAAAUAGUGAGUAACCUUACCAUCAAUUUAAUUAUCUAAAGUAUGUUUUUAAUCGGUUUUGGUGAAAUUUUAUGAAAAU